ACAAUGGCCUCUGCUGACAAGAAUGGCGGGAGCGUGUCCUCUGUGUCCAGCAGCCGCCUGCAGAGCCGGAAGCCACCCAACCUCUCCAUCACCAUCCCGCCACCCGAGAAAGAGACCCAGGCCCCUGGCGAGCAGGACAGCAUGCUGCCUGAGAGGAAGAACCCAGCCUACUUGAAGAGCGUCAGCCUCCAGGAGCCACGCAGCCGAUGGCAGGAGAGUUCAGAGAAGCGCCCCGGCUUCCGCCGCCAGGCCUCACUGUCCCAGAGCAUCCGCAAGGGCGCAGCCCAGUGGUUUGGAGUCAGCGGCGACUGGGAGGGGCAGCGGCAGCACUGGCAGCGCCGCAGCCUGCACCACUGCAGCGUGCGCUACGGCCGCCUGAAGGCCUCGUGCCAGCGUGACCUGGAGCUCCCUAGCCAGGAGGCACUGUCCUUCCAGGGCACUGAGUCCCCAAAGCCCUGCAAGAUGCCCAAGGUGGGAUCCAUGGGGAAAGGAGGCAGGGGUGGGGACCCUAAUGGCUCUGCUUACCGCCCCCCUCCCUUCCAGAUUGUGGAUCCGCUGGCCCGGGGCCGGGCCUUCCGCCACCCGGAGGAGAUGGACAGGCCCCACGCCCCGCACCCACCGCUGACCCCCGGAGUCCUGUCCCUCACCUCCUUCACCAGUGUCCGUUCUGGCUACUCCCACCUGCCACACCGCAAGAGAAUGUCUGUGGCCCACAUGAGCUUGCAAGCUGCCGCUGCCCUCCUCAAGGGGCGCUCGGUGCUGGAUGCCACCGGACAGCGGUGCCGGGUGGUCAAGCGCAGCUUUGCCUUCCCGAGCUUCCUGGAGGAGGAUGUGGUCGAUGGGGCAGACACGUUUGACUCCUCGUUUUUCAGUAAGGAAGAAAUGAGCUCCAUGCCUGAUGAUGUCUUUGAGUCCCCCCCACUCUCUGCCAGCUACUUCCGAGGGAUCCCACACUCAGCCUCCCCUGUCUCCCCCGAUGGGGUGCAAAUCCCUCUGAAGGAGUAUGGCCGAGCCCCAGUCCCCGGGCCCCGGCGCGGCAAGCGCAUCGCCUCCAAGGUGAAGCACUUUGCCUUUGAUCGGAAGAAGCGGCACUACGGCCUCGGCGUGGUGGGCAACUGGCUGAACCGCAGCUACCGCCGCAGCAUCAGCAGCACUGUGCAGCGGCAGCUGGAGAGCUUCGACAGCCACCGGUGAGGUGUCGCCCUGGAGCCCCCAGGAGAGCCUGGAAGGUUCCAAAUUCCUCUGGGCCCUCCUGAAGCACCCCCUUACUCAUUCAGCAAGUGUUUCAUGAGCAUCUUCUGCGGAUCAGGAGUGUAGUGACAAGCUCGAAGGCGCACCCUGUCCCAAGGGUUGUGCACAUGACCUGGGAAGGGCCAGGGGUGCUUGCUGCCUCUCUUCCACCCCAUGCUUUCUGAGCCUGGUCCCCAGCCUUGCUCCCAGACAGCAGUCAGUCAACAAAUGUUCAUUGAGUGUCACUGCCUGCAGGCCCUAAAAUGGAACCCCCAGAGGGUGGAGCAGGGAGGGCAGGGUCGGUCAGAGGACAGUUAGAAGCUGGGGCCAGGGCUGGGCGCCGUGGCUCACACUUGUAAUUAUAGCACUUUGGGAGGCUGAGUCAGAAGGAUUGCUUGAGCCUAGGAGUUUGAGACCAGCCUGGGCAACAUAGUGAGACCCUACCUCUACUUUAAAAGAAGAAGCUGGGGCUGGGAGGGAGGGGACUCUGGGAGAGGCUAUGCAGAGCCCUUGGGGAAGAACAGGGCAUCUGAUUUGCAGCAGCCCAAUAAACACUGGGCCCAAAUUAGAAAAUAACAAGCAGGCAGGGCGCGGUGGCUCACGCCUGUAAUUCCAGCACUUUCUGAGGCCGAGGCAGGCGGAUCACCUGAGGUCAGGAGUUCAAGACCAGCCUGGCCAACAUGGUGAAACCCCAUCUCUACUAAAAAUACAAAAAAUCAGUCGGGCGUGGUGGUGCAUGCCUGUAAUCCCAGCUACUCAGGAGGCUUGAGGCAGGAGAAUCACUUGAACCUGGGAGGCAGAGGUUGCAGUGAGCCAGGAUCGCACCAUUGUACUCCAGCCUGGGCAACAAGAGCGAAAUUCCAUCUC
This 2097-nucleotide small RNA is filed under the name Pan troglodytes (chimpanzee). RNAcentral's name for it is "retained intron". Lineage: Eukaryota; Metazoa; Chordata; Mammalia; Primates; Hominidae. The record is from RNAcentral.